CGGGGGUCCAAUCUAAUUCUGCAUAAUGGUUUAUUUAUGUAGUCUCGCUUUUGGACCAGAACAAUCACCAUCCUUUAUUAUCCUUGUGCUUGUAAUAUCAUUUAGUUCAAUGCACACGAGAAACGUAAAAGAACACUC
Molecule: non-coding RNA, 138 nt
Organism: Drosophila erecta
Lineage: Eukaryota; Metazoa; Arthropoda; Insecta; Diptera; Drosophilidae
Source: Rfam